This 190-nucleotide ribosomal RNA is filed under the name uncultured bacterium. RNAcentral describes it as "partial 16S ribosomal RNA". It matches the Rfam family "Bacterial small subunit ribosomal RNA", at positions 338 to 525 of the family's 1533-position model. The record is from RNAcentral.
CCUACGGGAGGCAGCAGUGAGGAAUAUUGGUCAAUGGACGCAAGUCUGAACCAGCCACGUCGCGUGAAGGAAGACGGCCCUACGGGUUGUAAACUUCUUUUGUAAGGGAAUAAAGUGCAGUACGCGUACUGUUUUGCAUGUACCUUACGAAUAAGGAUCGGCUAACUCCGUGCCAGCAGCCGCGGUAAUA